This 518-nucleotide ribosomal RNA is filed under the name Octospora erzbergeri. RNAcentral describes it as "partial large subunit ribosomal RNA". It matches the Rfam family "Eukaryotic large subunit ribosomal RNA", at positions 122 to 626 of the family's 3401-position model. Lineage: Eukaryota; Fungi; Ascomycota; Pezizomycetes; Pezizales; Pyronemataceae. The record is from RNAcentral.
CUGUCCUUAGCCGGGCUAUCCGAGUUGUAAUUUGGAGGAGCAUCUUCGGAGGCGGCAGCCGUCCCAAGUUCCGUGGAACCGGACGUCACAGAGGGUGAGAAUCCCGUGUCUGGGCGGCGUUGCUCGUCUUCGUGCGAAGUGCUUCCGACGAGUCGAGUUGUUUGGGAAUGCAGCUCAAAAUGGGUGGUAAAUUUCAUCUAAAGCUAAAUAUUGGCGAGAGACCGAUAGCGCACAAGUAGAGUGAUCGAAAGAUGAAAAGCACUUUGAAAAGAGAGUUAAAAAGUACGUGAAAUUGUUGAAAGGGAAGCGCUUGAGAUCAAACUCAGCCUUGUGGUGAAGCUGUGAGUUCGCUCGGAGCCGCUCGCCUUUGGCUGGGCCAGCAUCGGUUUUGACGGCGGGAGAAACGGCUUGGGAAUGUGGCUUUUCUUCGGGAGAGUGUUAUAGCCCGAUGCCAAAAUACUGCCAGUCGAGACCGAGGAACCCCCCCGCGCCCUUCUUUUUUGUUGGGGCUAGGAUGC